UAGCAAAUAGCCUCUGGCUUGUGAGUUGAGGAGCAGUUUGAACUAGUUCUGAAUAAUAAUGGGCGUCUGAUAUGCUGUUUUUGGAUGGCCGGCAAUUAUGUUUCUGCCAUUUGGAAUUUGUAGGUUUAAUGACGAUAGGUAUGUUUCUGCAGUGUGAGUCUAUGUGCAAAGCUGAUUCCAUCACUAUGUGUAUAAGGGGGCAUUGUGUGUGUAGGGGAUGUAGUGUACUUUUGCUGGUGAUGCAGUGUUGGUGCUGGGGAUAAAAUGUGUGUAUGUGCGGUAGUGAAUGUACCCUCAAUGCUUUCAGCCAAACACUUGAAACCUCUCUCUCUAUGUUACAAUGCUCUUCUCCAGGGGCCUGCAAAAGACAAAAUGCCCUAUAU
This is a non-coding RNA of Pelobates cultripes (western spadefoot toad), 383 nucleotides long. Lineage: Eukaryota; Metazoa; Chordata; Amphibia; Anura; Pelobatidae. The record is from the annotation of a GenBank genome assembly.